This 253-nucleotide ribosomal RNA is filed under the name uncultured bacterium. RNAcentral describes it as "partial 16S ribosomal RNA". It matches the Rfam family "Bacterial small subunit ribosomal RNA", at positions 524 to 776 of the family's 1533-position model. The record is from RNAcentral.
UACGGAGGGUGCAAGCGUUGCUCGGAAUCACUGGGCGUAAAGCGGGCGCAGGCGGUCCAGCAAGUCGGGUGUGAAAGCCCGGGGCUCAACCCCGGAAUUGCAUUCGAAACUGCGGGACUUGAGUACGGGAGAGGGGAGCGGAAUUCCUGGUGUAGAGGUGAAAUUCGUAGAUAUCAGGAGGAACACCGGUGGCGAAAGCGGCUCCCUGGUCCGAUACUGACGCUCAUGCCCGAAAGCGCGGGUAGCAAACAGG